This 335-nucleotide ribosomal RNA is filed under the name uncultured bacterium. RNAcentral's name for it is "bacterial SSU rRNA". It matches the Rfam family "Bacterial small subunit ribosomal RNA", at positions 8 to 334 of the family's 1533-position model. The record is from RNAcentral.
AGGGUUUGAUUCUGGCUCAGGAUGAACGCUAGCUACAGGCUUAACACAUGCAAGUCGCGGGGCAGCAUGUCGGUUGCUUGCAACCGAUGAUGGCGACCGGCGCACGGGUGAGUAACGCGUAUCCAACCUGCCCUUCACCACGGAAUAAUCCAGUGAAAAUUGGUCUAAUACCGUAUGAGGUCAUACGAUGGCAUCAGAAUAUGACGAAAGGUUUAGCGGUGAAGGAUGGGGAUGCGUCUGAUUAGCUUGUUGGUGAGGUAACGGCUCACCAAGGCGACGAUCAGUAGGGGUUCUGAGAGGAAGGUCCCCCACAUUGGAACUGAGACACGGUCCAA